UGAUAACCAUGAUGGAUAGAAAUGAAGAG
This 29-nucleotide non-coding RNA is filed under the name Mus musculus (house mouse). The record is from RNAcentral. Lineage: Eukaryota; Metazoa; Chordata; Mammalia; Rodentia; Muridae.